Molecule: non-coding RNA, 148 nt
Filed under: Homo sapiens (human)
Lineage: Eukaryota; Metazoa; Chordata; Mammalia; Primates; Hominidae
Source: Rfam by way of RNAcentral
GCUGGGCGCAGUGGCGUGUGCCUGUAAUCCCAGUUACUUGGGAGGCUGAGGCAGGAGAAUCGCUUGAGCCUGGGAGGCGGAGGUUGCAGUGAGCCGAGACUGCGCCAUUGCACUCCAGCCUGGGUGACAGAGUGAGACUCUGUCUCAA